RNAcentral lists this ribosomal RNA (586 nucleotides) under Aspergillus niger. RNAcentral's name for it is "partial large subunit ribosomal RNA". It matches the Rfam family "Eukaryotic large subunit ribosomal RNA", at positions 67 to 669 of the family's 3401-position model. Lineage: Eukaryota; Fungi; Ascomycota; Eurotiomycetes; Eurotiales; Aspergillaceae. The record is from RNAcentral.
ACACGGGGAUGCCUCAGUACGGCGAGUGAAGCGGCAAGAGCUCAAAUUUGAAAGCUGGCUCCUUCGGAGUCCGCAUUGUAAUUUGCAGAGGAUGCUUUGGGUGCGGCCCCCGUCUAAGUGCCCUGGAACGGGCCGUCAGAGAGGGUGAGAAUCCCGUCUUGGGCGGGGUGUCCGUGCCCGUGUAAAGCUCCUUCGACGAGUCGAGUUGUUUGGGAAUGCAGCUCUAAAUGGGUGGUAAAUUUCAUCUAAAGCUAAAUACUGGCCGGAGACCGAUAGCGCACAAGUAGAGUGAUCGAAAGAUGAAAAGCACUUUGAAAAGAGAGUUAAACAGCACGUGAAAUUGUUGAAAGGGAAGCGCUUGCGACCAGACUCGCCCGCGGGGUUCAGCCGGCAUUCGUGCCGGUGUACUUCCCCGUGGGCGGGCCAGCGUCGGUUUGGGCGGCCGGUCAAAGGCCCCUGGAAUGUAGUGCCCUCCGGGGCACCUUAUAGCCAGGGGUGCAAUGCGGCCAGCCUGGACCGAGGAACGCGCUUCGGCACGGACGCUGGCAUAAUGGUCGUAAACGACCCGUCUUGAACCACGGACCAA